GCCCAGGUAGCUCAGUCGGUAGAGCAGAGGAUUGAAAAUCCUCGUGUCGGCAGUUCGAUUCUGUCCCUGGGCACCA
RNAcentral lists this transfer RNA (76 nucleotides) under Thiolapillus brandeum. RNAcentral's name for it is "tRNA-Phe (GAA) (tRNA-Phe-GAA-1-1)". It matches the Rfam family "tRNA". Rfam says of the family: Transfer RNA (tRNA) molecules are approximately 80 nucleotides in length. Lineage: Bacteria; Pseudomonadati; Pseudomonadota; Gammaproteobacteria; Chromatiales; Sedimenticolaceae. The record is from RNAcentral. RNAcentral also lists the same sequence under 5 other names.